Molecule: long non-coding RNA, 557 nt
Filed under: Phoenix dactylifera (date palm)
Lineage: Eukaryota; Viridiplantae; Streptophyta; Magnoliopsida; Arecales; Arecaceae
Description: long non-coding RNA (PDAC_LNC021318)
Source: RNAcentral
UGUAUAGGUUCGUUGGUGAGCCCGUAAAACCAACAAAGGUUUUUGGUGAACCCGGAAAACCAAAGUGUAUAGGUUCAUUGGUGAGCCCGUAAAACCAACAAAGGUUUUUGGAUUGUGAGCCCGGAAAACAAUCCAACUGUAAUCCGCGGGAUUAUAGUGAAUUCCCAAGGGGACGCUUAGAGAGUGGACGUAGGUGCUAAGGAGAGCACCGAACCACUAUAUAUUGUUGUGUUUGUGUUGUACUUGUGCUUACGUUUAUUCUUGCAUCAUCUUCUAUCUUUGCACUAGUUUAAAUAGUUUAAGGAAGCAUCCACCGCACUUAAUUAAGAAAACGUUUAAAGCACCAAAAUUUAGAAGAAACCAAUUCACCCCCCCCUCUUGGCUUGUCACCUUGGGCAACAAGUGGUAUCAGAGCGAGGUGCUCUAAUAGUACUCAUUGAUCUCACAAUCAAGAGUUAAGGAUCAUGACAACCCAAGUGGGAUGUUCUAUGAGUGAGGGACAAUUAAUUGAUAGACCUCACUAUUUGAUGGUAUAAACUACACAUAUUGGAAAGCAC